RNAcentral lists this ribosomal RNA (924 nucleotides) under Triticum aestivum (bread wheat). RNAcentral describes it as "partial small subunit ribosomal RNA". Lineage: Eukaryota; Viridiplantae; Streptophyta; Magnoliopsida; Poales; Poaceae. The record is from RNAcentral.
AUGGCGCAAGAGAUAGAGCACACACAGCUCUCCGUCCGUGGCAUCAGCCUACACGUUGCUCAAGUAGGAAAAGAUGAGCUUGGGACGGUGGUGUUCUUGCACGGCUUCCCGGAGAUAUGGUACUCGUGGCGCCACCAGAUGCAGGCCGUGGCCGCCGCAGGGUACCGCGCCAUCGCGCCGGACAGCCGCGGGUACGGCCUGUCGGACCAGCCGCCGGAGCACGAGGAGCCCUCCUGGGAGGACCUCGUCGCCGACGUGCUCGCCAUCCUCGACGCCCUCUCCAUCCCCAAGGCGUUCCUGGUGGGCAAGGACUUCGGCGCCAUGCCGGCGUACGACUUCACGCUGCGGCACCCGGGCCGCACCCGCGGCGUGGCGUGCCUGGGCAUCCCCUUCAGCCCGAUCCCCUUCGACUUCGCCGGCACCAUGCCGGAGGGCUUCUACCCGCUGCGGUGGCGCCAGCCGGGGCGGGCGGAGGCGGACUUCGGGCGGUACGACAUCCGGCGCGUGGUGCGCACCAUCUACGUGCUCUUCUCCGGCAGCGAGGUCCCGGUCGCCGAACAAGGCCAGGAGACCAUGGACCUCGCCGACGGCUCCGCGCCACUGCCGGGGUGGUUCACCGAGGAGGACCUCGACGUGUACGCGGCGCUCUACGAGAACUCCGGCUUCGGGUUCCCGAUCCGCAUGCCGUACGGGUCCCUGGACAAGAUGGCGACCCAGCUGGACGCCAGGUUCGAGGUGCCGGUGCUGAUGGUGAUGGGGGAGAACGACUACGUGAUGAAGCUGCCGGGGUUCGAGGCCGCCGUGAUGGGCGGCAUGAUGGCCGGCUUCGCGCCUGACCUCAAGGUCGCCUUCGUCCCGGAGGGCAGCCAUUUCGUGCAGGAGCAGUUCCCGGCGCAGGUUAACGAGCUCCUCCUUGCUUCUUGA